CAAGUCGAGGGAGAAGCCUUCGGGCUGAAACCGGCGCACGGGUGCGUAACGCGUAUACAAUCUGCCUUUCACAUAGGGAUAGCCCGAAGAAAUUUGGAUUAAUACCUAAUGGUAUAUAAGAGCGGCAUCGUUUUUAUAUUAAAGCUACGGUGGUGAAAGAUGAGUAUGCGCUCUAUUAGCUAAUUGGAGAGGUAACGGCUCCCCAAGGCGACGAUAGAUAGGGGUUCUGAGAAGGAUGUCCCCCACACUGGUACUGAGAUACGGACCAGACUCCUACGGGAGGCAGCAGUGAGGAAUAUUGGACAAUGGUCGGAAGACUGAUCCAGCCAUGCCGCGUGCAGGAUGAAGGUCCUAUGGAUUGUAAACUGCUUUUGUAAGGGAAGAAUAAGAGCUACGUGUAGUUUGAUGACGGUACCUUACGAAUAAGCAUCGGCUAACUCCGUGCCAGCAGCCGCGGUAAUACGGAGGAUGCGAGCGUUAUCCGGAAUCAUUGGGUUUAAAGGGUCCGUAGGCGGGCUGAUAAGUCAGAGGUGAAAGCGCUUAGCUCAACUAAGCAACUGCCUUUGAAACUGUCAGUCUUGAAUGAUUGUGAAGUAGUUGGAAUGUGUAGUGUAGCGGUGAAAUGCUUAGAUAUUACACAGAACACCGAUAGCGAAGGCAUAUUACUAACAAUUUAUUGACGCUGAUGGACGAAAGCGUGGGGAGCGAACAGGAUUAGAUACCCUGGUAGUCCACGCUGUAAACGAUGGAUACUAGCUGUUUGGAGCAAUCUGAGUGGCUAAGCGAAAGUGAUAAGUAUCCC
Molecule: ribosomal RNA, 802 nt
Filed under: uncultured Bacteroidota bacterium
Lineage: Bacteria; Pseudomonadati; Bacteroidota
Description: bacterial SSU rRNA
Rfam family: Bacterial small subunit ribosomal RNA
Source: RNAcentral